GAUGGACGCUGGCGGCGUGCCUAAUACAUGCAAGUCGAGCGAACAGACGAGGAGCUUGCUCCUCUGACGUUAGCGGCGGACGGGUGAGUAACACGUGGAUAACCUACCUAUAAGACUGGGAUAACUUCGGGAAACCGGAGCUAAUACCGGAUAAUAUAUUGAACCGCAUGGUUCAAUAGUGAAAGACGGUUUUGCUGUCACUUAUAGAUGGAUCCGCGCCGCAUUAGCUAGUUGGUAAGGUAACGGCUUACCAAGGCAACGAUGCGUAGCCGACCUGAGAGGGUGAUCGGCCACACUGGAACUGAGACACGGUCCAGACUCCUACGGGGGGCAGCAGUAGGGAAUCUUCCGCAAUGGGCGAAAGCCUGACGGAGCAACGCCGCGUGAGUGAUGAAGGUCUUCGGAUCGUAAAACUCUGUUAUUAGGGAAGAACAAAUGUGUAAGUAACUAUGCACGUCUUGACGGUACCUAAUCAGAAAGCCACGGCUAACUACGUG
RNAcentral lists this ribosomal RNA (497 nucleotides) under uncultured bacterium. RNAcentral's name for it is "partial 16S ribosomal RNA". It matches the Rfam family "Bacterial small subunit ribosomal RNA", at positions 28 to 507 of the family's 1533-position model. The record is from RNAcentral.